CUAGAUCCAUCUUGAGAGCACGGUGUGUUCAGACCUGCCUUGCAGACGCAGCUGUGGUUCUUCCGUCAUGACCUUAACGAGGAAAGAGAACAAGUCCUGACUGAGUUCCCUAGUUCCCUUUCAGAUUGUGUGGGCCCUCGAGCUGUUCUCUUCAGAACCAGGGCUGAGUAUGUCUAAGAAUGUUUGGGAAGAUGAUUUAAAGCAGGUGCCCUCAAUCAGGUCAAAUGGAUCAUACAAUCUGCAAUAUGGUUGAGUGAUAGGCCUCCAAAGGAAGCAACUGGACAUCGGCCAGCUGAAGAGGUCAGCCAGAGGAUCCUACUAUGGUCGUUAAGAAUUGUGGACUUUUCUUUUUGCACAUGCACCACAGAAAAACCAAGGUGCUCCAAUGCUGUCAGUAAAAGCAAGCCCAGGAUAGGGAGAUGUUGUCACUUUUGGGAGUGUGAACUGAAGACAUCCAUAUUCACAUCUAGUUCGGCUCACUUGUCAUCUGCAUCUCUGGCACCAAGUUCUUUUCCCUCUGUGUGA
RNAcentral lists this long non-coding RNA (525 nucleotides) under Pan troglodytes (chimpanzee). Its description in RNAcentral is "lncRNA (ENSPTRG00000053404.1)". Lineage: Eukaryota; Metazoa; Chordata; Mammalia; Primates; Hominidae. The record is from RNAcentral.